RNAcentral lists this ribosomal RNA (482 nucleotides) under uncultured bacterium. RNAcentral describes it as "partial 16S ribosomal RNA". It matches the Rfam family "Bacterial small subunit ribosomal RNA", at positions 28 to 523 of the family's 1533-position model. The record is from RNAcentral.
GACGAACGCUGGCGGCGUGCUUAACACAUGCAAGUCGAACGAUGAAACCUAGCUUGCUAGGUCGAUUGGUGGCGAACGGGUGAGUAACACGUGACUACCCUACCCCUUUCUCUGGGAUAACGCUCCGAAAGGAGUGCUAAUACCGGAUACUCACACCGAGGCACAUGCCUUGGUGUGGAACGUUUUUCGGAAAGGGAUGGAGUCGCGGCCUAUCAGCUUGUUGGUGAGGUAACGGCUCACCAAGGCGACGACGGGUAGCCGGCCUGAGAGGGGGACCGGCCACACUGGGACUGAGACACGGCCCAGACUCCUACGGGAGGCAGCAGUGGGGAAUAUUGCACAAUGGGCGCAAGCCUGAUGCAGCGACGCCGCGUGAGGGAUGAAGGUCUUCGGAUUGUAAACCUCUUUCAGUAGGGACGAAGCGAAAGUGACGGUACCUAAAGAAGAAGCACCGGCUAACUACGUGCCAGCCGCCGCGGUAA